CGGGCACAGAAGUAGAAUAAAUCUUACUGAAAUGCUAACGCAAGCCCAACCUGUGUUUCACCUAUUCUGGAUUAUGAAACAACAAGAACCUCGGAUUUAUGGCAAGGAACAAGUCUGAAGGACAAGGGCAAAGCAGAGCUUAAUCUCCAGCCAUGGGAGAUAUCUCAAACAGAGAGUAAACUGCAAGAACAGUGAGGGGACUGCAGCUGUUUGUGGGCAUAACGUUUAUCAGGGAUGGAAUGACCCAAAGCCUGGGGAUCCAUGUCUACAACAUACGGCUCUAGCAGGGGGUAAACAGCCAGACCACCGAGGGAACAGCAGCUGUUGUUUCAGCUCUGCUCCGUCGUUCGUCCAGGUGAGUCCAGGUGCUGUGGGAUCAGGAAGCUCCAAACACUGAGGGACCUUCAACUUGGAUCAGGUGAAGGGGACCUCUGCGAGGACUGGACUGUCGGAAGCACUCACCAAGGAAUCUGUUCUCUCCAUUGGGAUGCAUUAGGAAAUUACACAGGUCAUUGACAGACUCUCGGCAUGCGGAGAGAUGACAUAUUUUCCUUCUGGUUCAGGUAACAGCGAGUAACUUAUUUGCAAUAUAAUAUGAGGUUGAAUUGUGCAGAUUUCAAAUGAAGUGUUGCUGAAUAAUAAAUCUAUGAGUGGGAGGAUAUUUUAUAGUUAUAGUUUUAUAGUUCCUGCAACUUUACAGAGAUUUUGAAACUAAAGUCUGCUCUAUGUUAGCAAUCUGUCAACAGGAUACAAAGCUGUUCAGAUCAAUCUGUUCACGGUCAUUAACAAUGAAGAGGAUUUUCUGUCUGAUUGUCCUCUCAGAAUGCCACAUUCUGCCCUCCUGUUUCUGCAAACCCUGAAAUAAAUCAGUGUGCUGCUGUUAUAAAAAGCCUCUUCACACGUGCAGUUGUGUCCUCUCUCCAGACUCUGUUAACAUGGCUGAUGAAAGUGUCAGACCAUCACACAUGUGGCUCAUAUAAAAACAAAACCAAUGGAAACAGUGCUGCGAAGUAAUGGCGGGCUCGUCAGAAGGCGUGCCGAGGACUGUAAUCACACGCUCGAUGCACUCAUGAUUCACUGUCAGGGUGUCAUUACGGUGUUUUCAAAGGGAAGCAGCACAAACAAUGAGUGCUCUUCUGUUUCCUGCCAUAAUGAAGGCGAUUAUUCAUGUGAGGAGCUGCAGGUUUGAAGACGGGUUUGCUAGAGACAGGAUAAGACGAGGUCAACCUCAGGAACUGAAAGUUUUCCGCACAAACAAACAUUUAGAUCACGUUUGUUCUUGUUUUUAAGCCUGAAAAACGAGUAUAAUUGUAGCUUUAAAUAUGUUUACUUCAAACUGUUUUUCUGAGAAUAGAAGAUCAAAUGUGAUGCUAAGAUGAAACAUAUGAGGAACAAAGUAGACAUGCAGUAUAUCAAUGAUUUAAACUUUUAAAAUAUAAUCCAAGGUUGUGUUGAGUAGGGCUGUGUAGUGGCCCAGUUGUUAGCGCUGUUACCCUGAUGCAAUAAGGUCAUGGUUCGAAUCCUGGCCUGGGGUCUAUCUUCAUGGAGUGUGAAGCUUCUGGGAUGACAGCUUCUCUCAGUCUUGGAUCUUUGGCUCUUUCCACUUGGAGGAGUCUGUGGGAAAAUCAAGAAUGCACUGAAGGAGCUUAUGUCAACGUCUAGCCUAGAAACAUCUGGAUAUCACCCAGGACAAGCUGGAGCAUGUCAUCCUUGAUUGUCCUCUCCACAGUUGUUUUCUGUCUGACUUUCUCAGCUCCUCAUGUAGUUGUGGAGCAUGUUUGGCUUGCUUUUCUGUUGAAUCUCAGUUAGGUUUAGGUCUGAACUUUGACUAGGCCAUUGAAGCACCUUGAUCCAUUUUCUCUUUCAGCCAUUUUUUGGAAGAUUUGCCAAAAUGCAUAGAAUCACUGUCUUGCUUAUCACCCAGUUUGGACCAAGCCUCGGCUGUCAGACUGAUGGUCUUGUGCCUGAAGAGGUAGAAAAAAAGGCCAAAUCAUUAACCCUCCAUCACCGUGCUUUACAGUUGGUUUGAGGUGUUUUAGUAAAGUCAACUUGUGUUGUCGACACCCUGCAUUAACACAACUUUCUCUGCUCCUCAUGAAAGACUGCAUGCAGAAAGCAUGCAUUUAGGUCACAGGUUUCUCUAGAAGGAGCUGAGAUCUGCAGACCACAAAAUGGACAAAUAGUAAAAGGCUGGGGGAGCUGAGGCGAGAAUGUGGCAAUAAUGUGAAAUAAAUCACCUUAAAAAGCAUCUGAAAAAAACGGAAACACUUCUACAAUUACAGGUUCGAAUUAGAAUAAAGAUGUAAAAAGAAAAUGUGAAAGGGGUUUUCUGUUAUACCAGCAAUGCUUUUUGUUCUUCACAAACGUUCAGUUUGUUCUUGAUGUGGGAAAAAAUCCCAUAUUUAAACCUCCAGAAUUCAAAGUGAACUCUGUUGUUGUUUUAUAUUUACUUUGGAUCUCUGCUUUGUUCUCAUUUGUUGUUUGGAAACUGAGCACGGCCCUCCUGCUUCCCUCCCUCCGUCAAAUUGAGCCAAACAUCAAUAACCUUCAUCCACAGCUACACGUGGCCCACUCUAAUGUGACUAAUGUGGGAGGGGUUGUGUGAUGGAGGCAGGGGUGGGUGGUCGGGGGCUUCAGAUUCCCGCUGCUGCUGCACUAAAACAAACAAUGAACGUCCUGGAAAGCCAGCUCUUAUUUUUAGGGUCUGACUGGGUUUUACAUAACGGGUCACCACAGCAAGAAUAGCUCCAUCAAUCACUGGGGUAGCAGUGUUCGAAUGCUCUGGCAACGCUGGGAUCAGAAAGCAACUCGCUGAGCCAGAGGGAUCUGAGCGGCUGAGACCACGACUCCGUUUCCAGCUUCCAGAAUGCCUCAGAGGAGACAAGCAUGGAGCCGAGCAAGCUUCAUUUACACACCAAGACGGUUUAAUCUGGCCUCACAUGGACGUUCAGUGGAUCAGGAUUUAUUAUGGAGAAGUAGAUCCAAUCACAGGGACCAAGUUACUAGGAGGCCCCUGUGAAACUGAUUUUUCACAUUUUAUUUUGGGAAGUCAAAUGGUGCAAACAUUUGACCACAAAAUAUAGAAAUAAAUGCACAAACCCAACAUUUUUUUAUUUUAUUUUAUUUUUUAUAUAUUUUUCAGUGCAGUAAAAGUUGUUUCCCUGUAACAUCUCCUUUGUUUCUGAGUUUUUGUCACACUAAAAUAUUUCAGACCAAAAAAGUAAUAAUCUCACUUAAAUAGAACCUGUCUGACAACAUAAAGUAGGUUGAAAGAUCUCAAAAAGCAAUGCAUCGUGCCUUAAUCUAAAUAUAUUCAAUAUAUUUAGAGGGGCUGCGUGGCUGUAUCAGGACCUGGACGACUUACUGUAAUUGAUGGAACCAUGAAAGCUGCUCUCAAACAGAAAAUCAGUUAAGAUGCUGUGGCAUCAUUAAUGCUUGAAAACCCACCAUGUGUCUGAACUAAAACAAUUCUGCAAAGAAGAGUGGGUCAAACUUCCUCCAAAUACACCAGAUGUGCAGGUUUUAGAUGUGUUCCUUAUCCAACGCACCUGAUUCAAAUGGUGAUUCACCUACUGAUCAGAGGCUUGGUGAAGCCCAUUUGUUUCAUGGGUGCUGAACCAGGAAAACAUCUAAAACAUGCAGGCCCUUGAGGACUGACUUCAGACACCACUGGCCUAAAGGAUUCUGCAGAAUUUACAAACUGCAGUAUUGCUAAAAGUUUUUAGCUUGCUCAGCCAUGAACAAAACUCACUGGGUUUUCCGACCAGGAGCUGGAACAGGAUUGGUUUGAGAGUCAGUGUGGCAUCUUGCAGUUCCUAUAAAUGUAUAUCAGUUGUUAAUCAAGAACACCAAACCAAUAUGUCCUUAACCAUAAAGAGGAAUUGAAGUAAAUAACUGACAGAUUAAAUUAGGUGCAGGAGCGUCCUUUGAACCUUUGAAGGGUGGGAUUUCUUAUCGUUGAGUGUCCUUGUUCAACUUGGUUCA
Girardinichthys multiradiatus is the source of this 3984-nucleotide long non-coding RNA. RefSeq lists it as uncharacterized. Lineage: Eukaryota; Metazoa; Chordata; Actinopteri; Cyprinodontiformes; Goodeidae. The transcript has 5 exons. The record is from RefSeq and is a predicted model, not a curated record.